Mustela lutreola (European mink) is the source of this 752-nucleotide long non-coding RNA. RefSeq lists it as uncharacterized. NCBI's taxonomy places the organism in Eukaryota, Metazoa, Chordata, Mammalia, Carnivora, Mustelidae. The transcript is spliced from 3 exons. The record is from RefSeq and is a predicted model, not a curated record.
UCUAUUCAACCCAGAGCCCAAAUCAUCAGCAACCAAAACGCUGGUUCCUCUUUCCUCCUAGGUCCUCAAACAUUUCCAAGGGAGGAGGCAGAAUUACAUUCUGCAGAAUUCACUUGCUGUUUGCUUGACUGUUUUCUCCUACGGAGUAGAAGCUUCUUGAAGGCCUGGACUGGGUCUUUUCGCCAUUGACUAUGGAGGGGAUUUUCAGGGAUGUUGAUUACCAACGAACGUUCUGGAAGGCCUGUGGCAUGCACACGUCCUCCCUCAGGAGACCACGAGGGAAUAGGAGAAAACGGACGUCCCGGAAAAGAAUUCUCAAAUGGGAACUCUGGCUUCCAAGUCCGGUUCAGCCACACCACAGCUGUGGCCUUGGAAGUUUGCUUUAACAUCUCGGCAUGUCAGUGUCCUCCUAUGUGAAAUGACGACCAGAAGCCGACAUCCACCUGGCACUCGGGAGCCUGCACAAGUAUGUUCAUUGGAGCGGGUCCAUGAAAGUGGAAAACUGGAAACAUCCCACAGUGCAACAAUUCAUUUAAACAAAUGAAGACACACGCACACCAUGGAACGGUAUCAUCCGUGGGUGAUGACGUGGAUGUUCAUACACAGGAAGGAUAUUUGUGGCCCAUUACCAAGUAGAGAAGUUGUUGUAGUUCAGUAGGCAUAGCGCUAUGUCAUUUUUGUUAAUUUUGUAAAAAUAAGAUAUUUACACGUAUCAUCAUUCAUCUGUUUAACAAGAUUUACUCUGCACAGUU